Molecule: non-coding RNA, 110 nt
Filed under: Neobacillus massiliamazoniensis
Lineage: Bacteria; Bacillati; Bacillota; Bacilli; Caryophanales; Bacillaceae
Description: Bacillus sp. LF1 Bacterial small subunit ribosomal RNA
Rfam family: Bacterial small subunit ribosomal RNA
Source: Rfam by way of RNAcentral
UUCUUGGAGAGUUUGAUCCUGGCUCAGGACGAACGCUGGCGGCGUGCCUAAUACAUGCAAGUCGAGCGAAUCUUUGGGAGCUUGCUCCCGAAGGUUAGCGGCGGUGAGGU